ACAAAGCAUCUUUGAUUAUUUCUAAUGGGAAACACACUCUUCUACAUAUUCAUCUCCAACAUGAUUGAAAAUCAGAUUCCAAAUAUAGCCUCACAUGAAAGCAAAGCAUGAAACAUAAUCAACAUUUACUUUGAUGAAUCCUUGGAUCAUGAAACCUCAACAUUUCCUCCACAUCCUCCCAUGAAGCCUCCGACGACCGACCCGAACUUGUAGGGCAUCGUGACGAUGUAUUUGGCUUCCGGCAGCGCGGAGGGGAACCAACGACGGCAGCAGUGCUGUUGCUGGGGAAGAGAAUGAUGUUCGCAGACGCCGCAGUGUUCUGGGUGCUGGUUGCUAUAGACCCCAAUACUUUUUUUCUCGAAUGCCAUUGUUCCUAGUUUCAUUGAACAUAAUAGGGGAUGAUGAAUCUGUUUUGGGAAUGAAGGAGGCGGUGAAUGGGUGGUCUCCUCCCUCCACGCCUCAACCUUGUCCGCAACCCCCACCACACCCACAAUCCCGCAUGAGAACAACCACUACAGUGCUCAGUGUUUUCCCAUGAAUCUUGUUUGUGGGCUCUGAACAAAGUUGUAAUAUUUUACAAUUUUAAUUGUUGGCUUUAUUUUCCAAUUUGGUUUUUGUAAUUGUUACUUAUUUGACAAUUUCUAGAAUUAAAACACCACUUGUAGUGUUCAAAUUUUUGCUUUAUAUCUGGAAAUUGAAGAGAUGCAGUGCAAGCUUGAUGUUUAUAUUUCUGUAUGAUAAAGCUGUGUUGCCAUUAAUGGUAGCUUUUUUAUUCUAUA
Molecule: long non-coding RNA, 779 nt
Organism: Glycine soja
Lineage: Eukaryota; Viridiplantae; Streptophyta; Magnoliopsida; Fabales; Fabaceae
Exons: 2
Source: RefSeq, a predicted model, not a curated record